GUGCCUAAAACAAUAAUCAAACCCAACCUCAGAAUUCAUAUCGAGAGAAUAUAUAACUUGUAUAAAAUACGUCACUACGUAGUUCGAUCCGGAAGAUCCGCCACUCAUAUUUUAAAUCCAUAACUUCCAGAGGUCCACAAUAUAUCUCUAGGAUAACAUCCUAAAAUUUCAUUACCAUCCAACGGUCGGAUCUCCGUCAAUUAACAAAACUAAGUGACGGUUAACAUUCUAUAUUAUGGACUUACAACUCUAAUUCCGGAAGAUCCGUAAAUCGGAUUCCCAAUCCGUAAGUUCCUAUAAUCCUCAAAUAUUACGUAUUACAACGUAUCAAAGUUUGGUGAUGAUCCAACGGUUGGAUCAUCAAUUCACAUUUUUACCUAAAUACGAAAACUAUAAAACGUUAUUUAAACACCUAACCAACAAUCCUUAAUAACUUCUCAUACGGUGCUCAAUUUGGGUAUAUGAAUAUACCACAUUGACCUACUCGACGUCACGGACGUCGACAAAUUUUUAAAAUAAUUGUUUACUGUGGCACGCGCCCCCACGCGCCCAGGAAGGCACGGGUCCAUGCGCGCCCACGCGCACCUUCUUCCUCGCGAGUUCGCCGGACUGGUUUUUCCGGUGGCCGGAAAACUGGGGAAUUUUCAAAUGCUUCGUUCUCCUUCGUUUCUCAACCAUUUUCUUCGUAUAAUAUAUCAAUUUAAAGCCCUCAACAUGUAGAAUCCAAGCAACUAAAUCUCACCGGAAAAAUCCAAGCAAAACCGGCCAAACUUAACCCUCGUGAUCCCGACGUCCAAAUCCUUCCAACGAAGCACUCCGAGCUUCCUUGGGACCUCACUAAGCUCACUAUGAGCUUGGAUUGUCCUAAAAAUCAACCAACAAAAAGUUCAUGAAUAGUGCCAAACUCGGACCUCGAGUUUUCAACGUGAAAACGAAGGAUUCCUUGCCUGAAAAUGGUGUCUUUGGGUUCUUAGAGUCUUCACGAGCACAAUGGUGCCCUUGGCACCUUCGAUCCGUGAAGUUUCAGGGUUUUGUGGUGAGGUCCGUACAUUUUGAGAAAGAGAGAGAGAAACUGAGAGAGUAGUGAGGGAGGAGAGAGAGAAGGCACGGGGGAAAGAGGGAGGUCUUGAGCGAGUGUGUGGUCCAACCACAACCAUACAUGCCAAAUUUAAUCCCUACCCACACAAAAUACAAUCCAAAUUUAAUCCAAACUUAUAAAAUUAAUCCAAAUAACGUCACACCCACGUACCUUAAUACCUGCUAAGGGUAAAUCCGUCUUUUCACGUCCUCGAUGAAUAAAAUCCCAGGACGGGCUGUGACAUUUGAUCAAAUCAAAUUACAAUCAAAAUCUAAUCUACACAUGCCCAUGGUUCAAACAAAUUUGAAACGGCCUUUCUGACACACCCCGUCCCGAAGGAGGGCAUGCUGGCCGUCACGUGAGAGUGACGUAACCAUUUGCACAGUACGGAAGCUUUAAGAUACAAUUUAUAAGUUGAUACACCCGAAGGUGAAUCCUAAUUUUGUCCAUUCUGUCAGAACACCGUCGAAUUCCUCUUAGUCACCACACCUUUGUGAUUCCUGAACCUGGAGGGGCGCAAAACCAAAAUUGAGUGGGUCAGUAAAACAAAUCUUUUCAAAUCCAACUUUUCUCAAAACAUUGUAACCCCUCUCCGUAAAACUUGUAAACUUUCCCAGAAAUGUAAAAUAUAAAUAUACAUAUAUAUUCUCAAAACUUCAUUUUUACUAUCUCAACAUUUUUCUUUAUCAAUCAUGCCAUGCCAUGUCUAAUUCAAUAGUUAAGUAUGGAUGCAUCAACAAUAAUCAUAUCAAGUGCAAGAAAGUAAUCAACCGGAGGCCCUCUAAUAGCCCUGUACGGUUGAACCUAGAGCUCAAAAUCUAUCACUCUCACUCUGCCGGAGUCACCUCUGUGACCUGUCCGGCCUUCUGCACAUAAGUCGGAACCACCUAAUGUAGUCUGUACGACUUAAUGGUUAAUAUUACGCUCUAGUGCUUUCUCAUCAAUCAUCUGUGCACAUAAUCUAAGGUCACCCACCAGUCGAAAUCUCACUAACACUCUAUGACUGGCCCGUCGCACCCACUCCGCGUGGACUGUGCGACCAACAUCUACUUGGAUCCAAGGCGAGCGUGCGAUGCGGUGAAUACUAUAAGCACUAAACCAUGGUGCAGGAUUUGAGCUCAAUAUACAUCAACAUCAUCAUAACAGUAAUUAAAUACUCACCUGAUACUCACCUGUGCGUCCGCCGCACCAUUCAUUCAUAUGCAUCAUAUCUCAAUUCAUACUUUUCAUAUCAUUUCAUGCAUGGCAAUUCGAUUCACAUUUCUAUAUACUUUUCAUAUACUUUUAUGCAUGGCAUCUCAAUUCACAUUUCAAUAUACUUUUCAUAUAAUUUUAUACAUUUUCAUUUAAAGCAUAAUUUCAUGCAUUUUCAAUUUUUGGGAAAACGGCAAGUAUAUAUGUAUACGGAAAACAAAACUGCCCACUCACCUGGAGUUCGCCCUACAACUCCCUAGCACAAUACGCCAAGGCGUCAUGACGAUCGGCGCCUAAAACAAUAAUCAAUUCCAACCUCAGAAUUCAUAUCGAUAGAAUAUAUAACUUAUAUAAAAUACGUCACUACGUAGUUCGAUCCGGAAGAUCUGCCAUUCAGAUUUUAAAUCCAUAACUUCCAGAGGUCCACAAUAUAUCUCUAGGACAACAUCCUAAAAUUUCAUCACCAUCCAACGGUCGGAUCUCCGUCAAUUAACAAAACUAAGUGACGGUUUACAUUCUAUUUUAUGAACUUACAACUCCAAUUCCGGAAGAUCCGUAAAUCGGAUUCCCAAUCCGUAAGUUCCUAUAAUCCUCAAAUAUUACGUAUUGCAACGUAUCAAAGUUUGGUGAUGAUCCAACGGUCGGAUCGUCAAUUCAUAUUUUCAUCUAAAUGCAAAAACUAUAAAACGUUAUUUGAACACCUAACCAACAAUCCUUAAUAACUUUCUCAUACGGUGCUCAAUUUGGGUAUAUGAAUAUACCACAUUGAUCUACUCGACGUCACGGACGUCGACAAAUUUUUAAAAUAAUGUUUUACUGUAGCACGCGCCCCACGCGCCAAGGAAGGCACGGGUCCACGCGCGCCCACGCGCACCUUCUUCCUCACGAGUUCGCCGGACUGGUUUUUCUCCGGUGGCCGGAUUCUGGGCAUUUUUCAAAUGCCUUGUUCUCCUUCGUUUCUCACCCAUUUUCUUCGUAUAAUAUAUCAAAAUGAAGCCCCAAACAUGUAGAAUCACAAUAUACUACUUUUAAGUUUCAAAAACAACUAAAUCUCACCGGAAAAGUCGAAGCAAAACCGGCCAAACUUGCAGCUCGUGAUCCCGAC
This 3377-nucleotide long non-coding RNA is filed under the name Malus domestica (apple). Its description in RNAcentral is "long non-coding RNA (MDOM_LNC015794)". Lineage: Eukaryota; Viridiplantae; Streptophyta; Magnoliopsida; Rosales; Rosaceae. The record is from RNAcentral.